RNAcentral lists this long non-coding RNA (646 nucleotides) under Brassica rapa (field mustard). RNAcentral's name for it is "long non-coding RNA (BRAP_LNC005303)". The record is from RNAcentral. Lineage: Eukaryota; Viridiplantae; Streptophyta; Magnoliopsida; Brassicales; Brassicaceae.
UUAAUAUCUUCCUGUAUUUUUGAAAAAAAAAAUUAUUUCACAAUACUAACAUUUGGUAUAGAUGAAAAAGUAAUGUAAAACAUAAAAACAAAUGCUAACAAAAAAUACUAAGACAUUUGAUAUACAUUUGUUAUAAUACUAGAUAUAUGUCCAAUAAAACAAACUCGCGCUUAAUAAUAAAAUUGACAAAGAAUACAAACCCGCGCUUUGAAAGCGCGGGUCAAAAUCUAGUUUUUCUAUUAUAAAUAUAACAUAAAAGAUUAAAAUGCCCCAAAAAAAUUAAAGAAGAAAAAAACUUUUAUACCCUUUAAAUUAACUAAUCUAAACUUAUGAAUUAGAUUUAUAAUUAAAAAUUCAUCUUAGAAAAUAUGAAUAAUACUUUUAAAUUUCAAGCAAAACUAUUUAGUACUUCAUUUUAACGUAAGAAACAAAGUACUAUUAAAACAAAACAAAAAACUCAAAACUAAGCAAAAAAAAAUGAAGCAUCAUUAGAGAUGAUUAUUAGAGGUGUUUUAUCAGAUUUAACUUACUGUUCUAAAAUAGUAGUUUUUGACAAUCUCUCGCAACUUUUAGACAUUGUUUAACUACUGUUUUGUCAGCAUCCACAAUCCACAUGUAACUAGAAAAGUUUCUAAAAAGAUAUUUC